AACGAACGCUGGCGGCAUGCCUAACACAUGCAAGUCGAACGAGACCUUCGGGUCUAGUGGCGCACGGGUGCGUAACGCGUGGGAACCUGCCCUUAGGUUCGGAAUAACUCCCCGAAAGGGGUGCUAAUACCGGAUAAUGUCUUCGGACCAAAGAUUUAUCGCCUUUGGAUGGGCCCGCGUUGGAUUAGCUAGUUGGUAGGGUAAAAGCCUACCAAGGCGACGAUCCAUAGCUGGGCUGAGAGGAUGAUCAGCCACACUGGGACUGAGACACGGCCCAGACUCCGGCGGGAGGGAGCAGUGGGGAAUAUGGGACAACGGGCGAAAGCAGGAUCCAGCAAUGCCGCGGGAGUGAUGAAGGCCUUAGGGUUGGAAAGCUCUUUUACCCGGGAUGAUAAGGACAGUACCGGGAGAAUAAGCUCCGGCUAACUCCGG
Molecule: ribosomal RNA, 432 nt
Filed under: uncultured bacterium
Lineage: Bacteria
Description: partial 16S ribosomal RNA
Rfam family: Bacterial small subunit ribosomal RNA
Source: RNAcentral